GUGAACAAUUAAUAAAUUAUUUCCAAUAUUUACGGAAUAUAUCAGAAUGAUUAAUUUAAACGGAAAACAAUAAAAUAUUCUUUAGACGGAGCCUGAUUAUUCCUAUGGGAAUAAUCAGACUUCGUUACAUCCCCCCUGGUUCGGAAAAAUUCAAGUUACGGUGAAACAGAAAUUUGAAUUCUAAAAACAAACAAAAAAAAAUAACCGAAUACUAUCCUGUCUUUUUACGCGGGAUAUAUGGGAAGUACGGGUCUGACUGUUACGUUACGCUAUCAAAGAUUAUAAUGCUGUUGUAGACAGUAUGACAUAUAAAAAUAAAACUUUGCUCUAUGAAUCGAUGUCAAAUUCAAAUGUCGUCUUCUUUCUUCUGUCAUCCGGGGUGAUUUGAAUGUUUGGAAAUUUCUUCAUCUCGGGGUUGUGGAGUAGCUCUCAUUCCCAUUUCCAUGAAGUUUCCAAGUGUCGGUGAAAAAUUCAAACGCCAUCUUCCUUCUUCGGUCAUCCGGGGUGAUUUGAAUGUGUACAUGUUUGGGAAAUUUCUUCAUCUCGGGGUUGUGGAGUAGAACUCAUUCCCAUUUCCAUGAAGUUUCCAAGUGUCGGUGAAAUAAUCUGAUGUCAGGUGUGGAUUAUCCCAUUCUCCGAGGGACGUCGAAAUUCCCAGUCAGAUGAGUCGAAACCAUUCCAAACUCAUUGAUAUACUGGUUGAUUUACCUGUGGAUAUUACAAGGAAUCAGUGACUGUAUGGUGAAAUUUUCAGAACGGUGAAAAUUCUUCCAGUUAUACAGUUUAAAUUAUCUAUAUGAAAAUUGAAAUGGAAUCCAGAUGUCCACCAGAGUAAUAAUUGACAGGCCAUGAUGUCCAAUUCUUCAAGUACUUCUUUCUUGGAUGAUGACAUGAAUAAAUCUUCAGGAAUCAUGUCUUCGGUGGAAUUGGGCUUACAGCUGAUCAUCCGAUGAAAGGUGUGUUGCCUAUCUCCAGCAUUUAUUCUCAUCGGUGUCGCAGCCUGGGGAAUUGGAACCUGUGGUAGUGGCUGAUCAUCAGCGUCCAAUGUUAUCAACGAUGUCUCCAGUGGUGCAACCUUGGUUGGCUGUAUGGGAGACAUCCCCGGCGACUGUGGAAUCUCUACAUCCAAAAGCGAUCCAUCCGGAUGAUUCGAUGGCUGCGGUCUGUCUGCAGUCACUAGUGCUUCCAAUG
This is a long non-coding RNA of Harmonia axyridis, 1191 nucleotides long. RefSeq lists it as uncharacterized. The record is from RefSeq and is a predicted model, not a curated record. The transcript has 3 exons. NCBI's taxonomy places the organism in Eukaryota, Metazoa, Arthropoda, Insecta, Coleoptera, Coccinellidae.